GCAUGAGAAGCGAAUUAUUGCAUUCGGUUUCGGCCCGUACUUUGGAGAGCAUAGCUCUUCCUCACGCU
This 68-nucleotide transfer RNA is filed under the name Rhinoclavis sinensis. Its description in RNAcentral is "tRNA-Arg". The record is from RNAcentral. Lineage: Eukaryota; Metazoa; Mollusca; Gastropoda; Cerithiidae.